This 253-nucleotide ribosomal RNA is filed under the name uncultured bacterium. RNAcentral describes it as "partial 16S ribosomal RNA". It matches the Rfam family "Bacterial small subunit ribosomal RNA", at positions 524 to 776 of the family's 1533-position model. The record is from RNAcentral.
UACGUAGGGGGCUAGCGUUGUCCGGAAUCAUUGGGCGUAAAGCGCGUGUAGGCGGUUCGGUAAGUCCGCUGUGAAAGUCGGGGGCUCAACCCUCGAAUGCCGGUGGAUACUGUCGAACUAGAGUCCGGAAGGGGCGAGUGGAAUUCCUGGUGUAGCGGUGAAAUGCGCAGAUAUCAGGAGGAACACCAAUGGCGAAGGCAGCUCGCUGGAACGGUACUGACGCUGUGGCGCGAAAGCGUGGGGAGCAAACAGG